GAUUAUGGCUCAGGAUGAACGCUGGCGGCGUGCUUAAUACAUGCAAGUCGAACGAAGAUAUUUCGCUGAGGCGAGCUUGCUCAAUUCUUGAAAUAUCUUAGUGGCGGACGGGUGAGUAACGCGUGGGUAACCUGCCUUACACAGGGGGAUAACAGUUAGAAAUGACUGCUAAUACCGCAUAAGCGCACGGUAUCGCAUGAUACAGUGUGAAAAAGAUUUAUCGGUGUAAGAUGGACCCGCGUCUGAUUAGCUAGUUGGUGAGGUAACGGCCCACCAAGGCGACGAUCAGUAGCCGGCCUGAGAGGGUGAACGGCCACAUUGGGACUGAGACACGGCCCAAACUCCUACGGGAGGCAGCAGUAGGGAAUAUUGGACAAUGGGGGCAACCCUGAUCCAGCCGACGCCGCGUGAGUGAAGAAGUAUUUCGGUACGUAAAGCUCUAUCAGCAGGGAAGAAAAUGACGGUACCUGACUAAGAAGCACCGGCUAAAUACGUGCCAGCAGCAGC
Molecule: ribosomal RNA, 507 nt
Filed under: uncultured bacterium
Lineage: Bacteria
Description: bacterial SSU rRNA
Rfam family: Bacterial small subunit ribosomal RNA
Source: RNAcentral